This is a long non-coding RNA of Schistocerca americana (American grasshopper), 1119 nucleotides long. RefSeq lists it as uncharacterized. Lineage: Eukaryota; Metazoa; Arthropoda; Insecta; Orthoptera; Acrididae. The transcript has 3 exons. The record is from RefSeq and is a predicted model, not a curated record.
UAGACGUUAACAGCUCUCUAACUGUGGCAUAAUCAUUUACAUACAGAAGUCGUGAUGCUCUUCUCUCUUUGCUCUGUCCGUUCAUUCAUGUGAUUUAACAGCGACAAUUACAUCAAAAUAGAUUUACAAACCAGCAUUUGUAGACUAAAGGGAGCACUAAAGGCCAAAGUAGCACAACGAACCCACACAUGUUACAGGAACUCAAGGAUAAUAUCCAUGAGUCAGUUCAUUCACUUUCUUAAAGAGAAGUACAUUGUGUGACAAAUAAUUUCUUCAGUAGAUAUGAGGAAUGUGUGGAAAAAAAUGGCAUGUACUUCCAGCAUCUCAAUGCAUGACAUAGGUAGAAGAUAGGGAUGAAGUGCCAACCUUUUCUACACUGGAAGUGCAAUCUGUAGCAAAUUAUGUGGAGAGUUUGUGUAGCAACAGUAGUAAUACAGGGUGUCCAACAAAGGACUCUCUAACAUUAGAAUCAAAUACAACAUUUGAAGACAGUGUCCCGAAAAAAACGGUUAUUCUGAGACACAGAUACAUAAUUCAUUCAGUGCCAGGCGAGUUCAAUCUAUGGAGCAGAAUGAGGAUACGAAGACACCCACCACUCUGGCCUUUUUUGGUGCCAUGUCAUUAAGAACCGGAAGAGUCCUCGGAAGAUAUGAAAUUAAGUGUUUUUCAACCAUGUGCAAAACUGAAAAACCUGUUGGGUUCAGUUAAGGAUGAUCUUGGCCUGAGGAAAUGUGGUGUGUACAAGAUUCCUUGUCAAUGUGGGGCAGCAUAUAUAGGCCAGACAUGCCGCACGAUACAAAAACACUGAGAUGAACAUCAGUGUCAUACACGCCUACACCAACCAGAAAAGUCGGCAAUUGCGGAACACUGCCUGAAUACAGGACAUUGCAUGAUAUAUGAAAAGAUGGAAGUUUUAUCACUGGCACCCUCUCUCUGGGACUGUGUCAUUAUGGAAGUAAUACAUAUCCGUACAGCUGAUAAUCUCAUCAACAGGGAAGUGGUAUUUCAACUGAGUAGAGCCUGGAACCCUGCAUUGACUGCUAUUAAAUCACAGCACAAAAAUCAAGAUUCUUCAAUAACAGACUCGUCAUAACAUUGGUCUAGUACGGUCUUUGGUGA